This 17-nucleotide ribosomal RNA is filed under the name Trichoderma harzianum. RNAcentral describes it as "partial 18S ribosomal RNA". The record is from RNAcentral. Lineage: Eukaryota; Fungi; Ascomycota; Sordariomycetes; Hypocreales; Hypocreaceae.
GGGGAAGGGGAUCAUUA